UGUUCUUGGACUCCGCGGACACUGCGGAGACUCCGGACCUCCGAGCUUAUCCUGAACACCUUGACGGAGCUGGACCUCAGUGACAGCCCUGAGGGGAAAAGGGAUCCUAACUGGUCCAAUACCUGACCCCAAGUCUGGAAAGUCGUGAUAGAGGCAGAGACUCCGGGAACGUCAUGGUUUGGCUGGAUCUGGAGGGGUGCACAGGAAGGAGAACCCUGGCUGUCCACUAAGUAAUACGUUGUAUGAUCCUACUAAGCAAGUUACUUUCCUUUUC
Leptonychotes weddellii (Weddell seal) is the source of this 274-nucleotide long non-coding RNA. RefSeq lists it as uncharacterized. NCBI's taxonomy places the organism in Eukaryota, Metazoa, Chordata, Mammalia, Carnivora, Phocidae. The record is from RefSeq and is a predicted model, not a curated record.